GACGAACGCUGGCGGCGUGCUUAACACAUGCAGGUCGAGCGGUAAGGCCCUUUCGGGGGUACACGAGCGGCGAACGGGUGAGUAACACGUGGGUGACCUGCCCUCAGCUCUGGGAUAAGCCUGGGAAACUGGGUCUAAUACUGGAUAUGACUCCACGGUGCAUGUCGUGGGGUGGAAAGCCUUGUGCGGCUGAGGAUGGGCCCGCGGCCUAUCAGCUUGUUGGUGGGGUGANGGCCUACCAAGGCGACGACGGGUAGCCGGCCUGAGAGGGCGACCGGCCACACUGGGACUGAGACACGGCCCAGACUCCUACGGGAGGCAGCAGUGGGGAAUCUUGCGCAAUGGGCGAAAGCCUGACGCAGCGACGCCGCGUGAGGGAUGACGG
Molecule: ribosomal RNA, 385 nt
Filed under: uncultured bacterium
Lineage: Bacteria
Description: bacterial SSU rRNA
Rfam family: Bacterial small subunit ribosomal RNA
Source: RNAcentral